This 444-nucleotide ribosomal RNA is filed under the name uncultured bacterium. Its description in RNAcentral is "bacterial SSU rRNA". It matches the Rfam family "Bacterial small subunit ribosomal RNA", at positions 331 to 793 of the family's 1533-position model. The record is from RNAcentral.
CCAGACUCCUACGGGAGGCAGCAGUGGGGAAUAUUGCACAAUGGGGGAAACCCUGAUGCAGCGACGCCGCGUGAGCGAUGAAGUAUUUCGGUAUGUAAAGCUCUAUCAGCAGGGAAGAAAAUGACGGUACCUGACUAAGAAGCCCCGGCUGACUACGUGCCAGCAGCCGCGGUAAUACGUAGGGGGCAAGCGUUAUCCGGAUUUACUGGGUGUAAAGGGAGCGUAGACGGCCAUUCAAGCCAGAUGUGAAAGCCCGGGGCUCAACCCCGGGACUGCAUUUGGAACUGUGUGGCUAGAGUGUCGGAGAGGCAGGCGGAAUUCCUAGUGUAGCGGUGAAAUGCGUAGAUAUUAGGAGGAACACCAGUGGCGAAGGCGGCCUGCUGGACGAUGACUGACGUUGAGGCUCGAAAGCGUGGGAGCAAGCAGGAUUAGAUACCCCAGUAA